AAGGAAUACCUAGGAUAGGAUAAGUAAUCCUUCUCACCCCCCCUAAAAGAUUUAGAUGCACUAUUGUAAAGUGGCUGUUCCACUGGAUGUCAUAAGGUGAAUGCACCAAUUUGUAAGUCGCUCUGGAUAAGAGCGUCUGCUAAAUGACUUAAAUGUAAUGUUAAAUGUUACCAAGAAGACAGUGAAUAUUCCUGGGUGGUUGAGUUAAAUUACCAUGAAAAUCUGACCUGAAAAUGCUCUACUUUCCCUCAAUUAUCAACAGCCAAGUUGACAGCUUGUAUAAUUUUUUAGAGAAUAAUGGGCAUAUGUUGCACAAUCCAGGUGUGGAAAGCUCUUAGAGACUUACCCAGAAAGACUCAAUCGGUGCCAAAGGUGUUUCUACAAAGUAUUGACUCAGGGGUAUGAAUACUUUGCAAAAAUAUCUAAAAACAUGUUUUCACUUUUCCUUCAAAGGGAUUGUGUGUAGAUUGCUAAGAAAAACAUAUAUUUAAUCCAUUUUGAAUUCAGUCUGUAAAUCAACAAAAGGUGGUAGGCGUCAAGGGGUAUGAAUACUUUCUGAAGGUACUGUAAGUUAGAGAGAGAGAGAGAGAAAGUCAGGCUGGAUACAUCCUGCUUUUGUUCCAGAGAGAUAAGGUUGUUGUGGAGGGAUAGGGAGACGUGGAGGAGUGGCUGUUCCCUUUUAACAGCAGGUCCUUUGGUUUAAAUGCGGACUGUGAGUCCUAGCCUCUCUAUAACCUCCUCUCCUCCUCUCCUCCUCUCCCCAGGGAGGUUUUAUCUGUCCAUUUCCUCUCCUCCUCUCCCCAGGGAGGUUUUAUCUGUCCAUUUCCUCUCCUCCUCUCCCCAGGGAGGUUUUAUCUGUCCAUUUCCUCUCCUCCUCUCCCCAGGGAGGUUUUAUCUGUCCAUUUCCUCUCCUCCUCUCCCCAGGGAGGUUUUAUCUGUCCAUUUCCUCUCCUCCUCUCCCCAGGGAGGUUUUAUCUGUCCAUUUCCUCUCCUCCUCUCCCCAGGGAGGUUUUAUCUGUCCAUUUCCUCUCCUCCUCUCCCCAGGGAGGUUUUAUCUGUCCAUUUCCUCUCCUCCUCUCCCCAGGGAGGUUUUAUCUGUCCAUUUCCUCUCCUCCUCUCCCCAGGGAGGUUUUAUCUGUCCAUUUCCUCUCCUCCUCUCCCCAGGGAGGUUUUAUCUGUCCAUUUCCUCUCCUCC
Molecule: long non-coding RNA, 1195 nt
Organism: Oncorhynchus keta (chum salmon)
Lineage: Eukaryota; Metazoa; Chordata; Actinopteri; Salmoniformes; Salmonidae
Exons: 4
Source: RefSeq, a predicted model, not a curated record